GGAAGGUUGGGCACGGGCACGCCGGGCAGUCUUGAAAACUGUCGGAGCCUCAACGGCUCCUGUGGGUUCGACUCCCACACCUUCCG
Molecule: small RNA, 86 nt
Filed under: Acidobacteriota bacterium
Lineage: Bacteria; Pseudomonadati; Acidobacteriota
Description: tRNA-Ser
Rfam family: Selenocysteine transfer RNA
Source: RNAcentral